UGCUAUACAUGCAAGUCGAGCGAAUCUGAUGGGAGCUUGCUCCCUGAUGAUUAGCGGCGGACGGGUGAGUAACACGUGGGUAACCUGCCUGUAAGAUUGGGAUAACUCCGGGAAACCGGAGCUAAUACCGGAUAAUAUUUUGAACCGCAUGGUUCAAAAUUGAAAGAUGGUUUCGGCUAUCACUUACAGAUGGACCCGCGGCGCAUUAGCUAGUUGGUGAGGUAACGGCUCACCAAGGCAACGAUGCGUAGCCGACCUGAGAGGGUGAUCGGCCACACUGGGACUGAGACACGGCCCAGACUCCUACGGGAGGCAGCAGUAGGGAAUCUUCCGCAAUGGACGAAAGUCUGACGGAGCAACGCCGCGUGAACGAUGAAGGCCUUCGGGUCGUAAAGUUCUGUUGUUAGGGAAGAACAAGUACCAGAGUAACUGCUGGUACCUUGACGGUACCUAACCAGAAAGCCACGGCUAACUACGUGCCAGCAGCCGCGGUAAUACGUAGGUGGCAAGCGUUGUCCGGAAUUAUUGGGCGUAAAGCGCGCGCAGGUGGUUUCUUAAGUCUGAUGUGAAAGCCCACGGCUCAACCGUGGAGGGUCAUUGGAAACUGGGGAACUUGAGUGCAGAAGAGGAAAGUGGAAUUCCAAGUGUAGCGGUGAAAUGCGUAGAGAUUUGGAGGAACACCAGUGGCGAAGGCGACUUUCUGGUCUGUAACUGACACUGAGGCGCGAAAGCGUGGGGAGCGAACAGGAUUAGAUACCCUGGUAGUCCACGCCGUAAACGAUGAGUGCUAAGUGUUAGAGGGUUUUCCGCCCUUUAGUGCUGCAGCUAACGCAUUAUGCACUCCGCCUGGGGGAGUACGGUCGCAAGACUGUAACUCAAAGGAAUUGACGGGGGGCGCGCACAAGCUGUGGAGCAUGUUGUUUUAAUUCGAAGCAACGCGCAGAACCUUACUUGUCGUGACAGACCACUGCCCGGCAUAGAGAUAUACCUUUCCCUUCCGCGACAGUGAUGACAGGUGCUGCAUGUUGUCGUCAGCUCGUGUCUGAGAUGUUGGGUGAAGUCGUCAUCCAGCGACA
RNAcentral lists this ribosomal RNA (1076 nucleotides) under Firmicutes bacterium 00YFR. Its description in RNAcentral is "bacterial SSU rRNA". It matches the Rfam family "Bacterial small subunit ribosomal RNA", at positions 45 to 1101 of the family's 1533-position model. The record is from RNAcentral. Lineage: Bacteria; Bacillati; Bacillota.